RNAcentral lists this ribosomal RNA (626 nucleotides) under uncultured Gammaproteobacteria bacterium. RNAcentral's name for it is "bacterial SSU rRNA". It matches the Rfam family "Bacterial small subunit ribosomal RNA", at positions 21 to 641 of the family's 1533-position model. Lineage: Bacteria; Pseudomonadati; Pseudomonadota; Gammaproteobacteria. The record is from RNAcentral.
GGCUCAGAUUGAACGCUGGCGGCAUGCUUUACACAUGCAAGUCGAACGGCAGCGGGUCCUUCGGGAUGCCGGCGAGUGGCGAACGGGUGAGUAAUGCAUCGGAACGUACCUGGUCGUGGGGGAUAACACAGCGAAAGUUGUGCUAAUACCGCAUGAGACCUGAGGGUGAAAGCGGGGGCUCGCAAGACCUCGCGCGACUGGAGCGGCCGAUGUCAGAUUAGCUAGUUGGUAGGGUAAAGGCCUACCAAGGCGACGAUCUGUAGCGGGUCUGAGAGGAUGAUCCGCCACACUGGGACUGAGACACGGCCCAGACUCCUACGGGAGGCAGCAGUGGGGAAUUUUGGACAAUGGGCGCAAGCCUGAUCCAGCCAUGCCGCGUGAGUGAAGAAGGCCUUCGGGUUGUAAAGCUCUUUCAGCCGGGAAGAAAUCGCACGGGCCAAUACCCUGUGCGGAUGACGGUACCGGAACAAGAAGCACCGGCUAACUACGUGCCAGCAGCCGCGGUAAUACGUAGGGUGCGAGCGUUAAUCGGAAUUACUGGGCGUAAAGCGUGCGCAGGCGGAUGCUUAAGUCAGAUGUGAAAUCCCCGGAGCUUAACUUGGGAAUUGCAUUUGAAACUGGGUAUC